CCUACGGGAGGCAGCAGUGGGGAAUAUUGGUCAAUGGACGCAAGCCUGACCCAGCAACGCCGCGUGCAGGAAGACGGCUUUCGGGUUGUAAACUUCUUUUGUCAGGGACGAAGCAAGUGACGGUACCUGACGAAUAAGCCACGGCUAACUACGUGCCAGCAGCCGCGGUAAUACGUAGGUGGCAAGCGUUAUCCGGAUUUACUGGGUGUAAAGGGCGUGUAGGCGGGACUGCAAGUCAGAUGUGAAAACCACGGGCUCAACCUGUGGCCUGCAUUUGAAACUGUAGUUCUUGAGUACUGGAGAGGCAGACGGAAUUCGUAGUGUAGCGGUGAAAUGCGUAGAUAUUAGGAGGAACACCAGUGGCGAAGGCGGUCUGCUGGACAGCAACUGACGCUGAGGCGCGAAAGCGUGGGGAGCAAACAGGAUUAGAUACCCUGGUAGUC
RNAcentral lists this ribosomal RNA (443 nucleotides) under uncultured bacterium. RNAcentral describes it as "partial 16S ribosomal RNA". It matches the Rfam family "Bacterial small subunit ribosomal RNA", at positions 338 to 795 of the family's 1533-position model. The record is from RNAcentral.